CGCUGGUGUUUAGUUAAGAAAAAACAAUACACAUUAAUAGGUUUUGAUUACGCUAUGACACAGACUGGAAGAUGAUAGAGAAAUUCUGAAGAGUUACUAAAAAGCCUCUACUCAUAGAAAACAUUUUGCAAGCUUAAUUACUUAUUUUUUACGUUAUUUAGUAAUUUUUCCAAUAUUUAUUUCCGGUAAUAUAUCAGGUAGCAGUCAUAAAAAAUGUAUCACAAAACUUUAGUAUUAGUUUUGUCGUUUUUGUUUGUAACGACGGAGCCGGCAAAAAUUCUAGGAGUGUUUCCAAUGCCGUCCUUAAGUCAUCAAGUUGUCUUCAGUAGAAUAACUCAGGAACUUGCUAAAAGGGGUCAUGAAGUGACAGUUAUUACAACAG
This 382-nucleotide unclassified non-coding RNA is filed under the name Melitaea cinxia (Glanville fritillary). Its description in RNAcentral is "misc RNA ENSMCXG00005001148.1". Lineage: Eukaryota; Metazoa; Arthropoda; Insecta; Lepidoptera; Nymphalidae. The record is from RNAcentral.